This is a long non-coding RNA of Saccostrea echinata, 234 nucleotides long. RefSeq lists it as uncharacterized. The transcript is spliced from 3 exons. Lineage: Eukaryota; Metazoa; Mollusca; Bivalvia; Ostreida; Ostreidae. The record is from RefSeq and is a predicted model, not a curated record.
UGCCAGCAGUGCCACUAGAAGUUGCAAAAUUCAUGGAAAUAUUCGCUUCAGGAAUGAUGGUAGAUAAGGAGUUAGAGAAGAAAGAAGAUUGUGAAGUUGAGAAACCUUGGAAUGAAAAAGUUGGGCCUACAGCUAACAUAUGCAAUGAUGAAGGGGAAAGUUCCCCAAUGAAGGAUGGAAAUCCCUUGCUCUCUAUUUUUGAAUUGGAAUUUGACCAAAAAGGUCCCAAGAAAC